GAUGAACGCUGGCGGCGUGCCUAAUACAUGCAAGUCGAGCGAACGGACGAGAAGCUUGCUUCUCUGAUGUUAGCGGCGGACGGGUGAGUAACACGUGGAUAACCUACAUAUAAGACUGGGAUAACUUCGGGAAACCGGAGCUAAUACCGGAUAAUAUUUUGAACCGCAUGGUUCAACAGUGAAAGACGGUCUUGCUGUCACUUAUAGAUGGAUCCGCGCUGCAUUAGCUAGUUGGUAAGGUAACGGCUUACCAAGGCAACGAUGCAUAGCCGACCUGAGAGGGUGGUCGGCCACACUGGAACGGAGACACGGUCCAGACUCCUACGGGAGGCAGCAGUAGGGAAUCUUCCGCAAUGGGCGGAAGCCUGACGGAGCAACGCCGCGUGAGUGAUGAAGGUCUUCGGAUCGUAAAACUCUGUUAUUAGUGAAGAACAUAUGUGUAAGUAACUGUGCACAGCUUGACGGUACCUAAUCAGAAAGCCACGGCUAACUACGUG
This 497-nucleotide ribosomal RNA is filed under the name uncultured bacterium. RNAcentral's name for it is "partial 16S ribosomal RNA". It matches the Rfam family "Bacterial small subunit ribosomal RNA", at positions 28 to 507 of the family's 1533-position model. The record is from RNAcentral.